RNAcentral lists this long non-coding RNA (813 nucleotides) under Carica papaya (papaya). RNAcentral describes it as "long non-coding RNA (CPAP_LNC010672)". The record is from RNAcentral. Lineage: Eukaryota; Viridiplantae; Streptophyta; Magnoliopsida; Brassicales; Caricaceae.
CUGAUAAGGUCUUGCAUAACAAGAUAAUUCCCAUGGUGAAAGUACGCAGCAUCACACUCUAGAAGAAGUAAUGUGGGAAUUAGAGGACAAAAUGAGGAAAAAGUAUUAAGACUUAUUCGAGACAAAUUUGGGGACAAAAUGUUUUUAGGUGGGAGGGAUGUAACACCCCGCCUAUCACUGUACUAAAAUGCUUUAUAAACUCUAUUUAUUUGAGCUUUUGGUUGCUUUAAACUUAAAUUGAUUUACACUGUUUAACAUUUUGAGAUUCAUAAUUUUGAUCUAUGUGCAUGUCCUGUCGCACGCAAGUGGGCCGUCUGUGCAUCACUUCAUGCACAGACUAGUGCCGCACACUAUGCACAUGCUGUCUAUGUAGUAGGCCUCGUGGACAGACCCUAUGCGCUUGGGACCUGUGUGCAAUAGGUCUGCGCGCGUGGCGCCCAUUACGCCUACGCAUGCGGCAACAAGCCUGUGCGCCAGCAAGUUAGCUUGCAGCGUGCCUGUCGGGCAUUGCCACCUCAAGCAGUGCACUGUCGUUGCCUUGGGCAGUGCGUCGCUGCCAUCGGUGAGGAAAAUUUUUUCUCUCGUUUUUCAUUUCGAGAAUCUUUUCUCCUCUCUCUUCACCGAAUUUCACCACUUUGCAUGAAUCCAACGGUUCUUAAAUUCUAUAAAUUGCGCUUCCCCUUCUCUUCCUCUCCACACUUCUAUUUCUUCCAUUUGUCAAAGGUUUAGAGAGAGAGAGAGAUAGUAAAUUAGUGAGAGAAGAAGAGAAAGAAAGGAAAACGAUGAAGAAAAAAAUAUCAAGGUUUUGAUAAG